This is a long non-coding RNA of Odocoileus virginianus texanus, 632 nucleotides long. RefSeq lists it as uncharacterized. The record is from RefSeq and is a predicted model, not a curated record. NCBI's taxonomy places the organism in Eukaryota, Metazoa, Chordata, Mammalia, Artiodactyla, Cervidae.
GCUAAGAUGGGGCCAGCCUCUUACUUACCACUUGGACAGAGAAAAGAAUGGGCAGUUUUCCCCCAAAGUUGAAAGCUACCAAGGAGAAAGGCUGCAGAACAGGACACAAAAUUAUAUAACCACUUCAAGGGCUCCAGUUGAGAAUAUAGAAAAGUAAAAGGGAAAGAUUUUCCCCUCUGCUUUAUUCUUGGUCGUCAUCUCGUUGAUGUUACUAGGGCAAGUAUUGCCACAUUACAGAUAAGAAGACUGAGGCUUGUACUAUGUAGCCGUCUUGGAUCCACUACCUAAUGGUACUUGAGGAAUCCAUCUCAAAGGGAUUGAAGAGAUGGAAGGUCUGGCCUGCAGACACUUAACAGUCAAGAUCAUCUGCAUAUUGAGGACAGUUACCACCCUUGCUCUCCUACCACUUCAAAUAGCUCAUUCUCAAGCUCUAGGCUUGAGAAGCCACUGUCCUUCAUCCCUCCCAAGGGACCAAAAGCCACUCACUCUUUGGGACAAUUUUCAUCACCUACUGGAAGGCCCAAUGUUGCAACGUAGGGAAGAUGUGUAUAUGAACCAGGCUGAGAAUGCUGCAGUGUGCACAACCCAAACACUGCUUAUCUACUUCCUGAAUGGCUCAGAUGGUUCUUGGU